Molecule: ribosomal RNA, 253 nt
Filed under: uncultured bacterium
Lineage: Bacteria
Description: partial 16S ribosomal RNA
Rfam family: Bacterial small subunit ribosomal RNA
Source: RNAcentral
UACGGGGGGGGUAAGCGUUGUUCGGAAUUACUGGGCGUAAAGGGCUCGUAGGUGGCCAACUAAGUCAGACGUGAAAUCCCUCGGCUUAACCGGGGAACUGCGUCUGAUACUGGAUGGCUUGAGUUCGGGAGAGGGAUGCGGAAUUCCAGGUGUAGCGGUGAAAUGCGUAGAUAUCUGGAGGAACACCGGUGGCGAAGGCGGCAUCCUGGACCGACACUGACACUGAGGAGCGAAAGCGUGGGGAGCGAACAGG